RNAcentral lists this long non-coding RNA (940 nucleotides) under Heterocephalus glaber (naked mole-rat). Its description in RNAcentral is "lncRNA (ENSHGLG00000033703.1)". Lineage: Eukaryota; Metazoa; Chordata; Mammalia; Rodentia; Bathyergidae. The record is from RNAcentral.
GACCCAAUGAGCGCAGCUGCUUUGGGACCCCAACCUAGGAGGGUGACACGGAGCUGGAAGCCCCACAGGCCACGUGGGAUUGAACCGUGAGCGUGAUGUCCUGCUGCUCAAGGCCCUGCAGGGACACUCUGAGACCCUGCUUUGCCCGCUGUGCCCGUGGCCAUCUGCUUCCACCUCUGGGGACAGCCCUGCCCUUUGGAGCAGGCCGACUCCUACCAGAAAAGGCUGCAGCCUUCUGGUCUCCCUGCCUGGAGCUGACCACCUACUGAGGCCGGCAGGGGUUAUAAACCUCCACCUCCAGGAAGAUCCCUUCCAGCUGUCACCUGCCAAGGAGCUCACCAGCUCCUGAUGUCGGGAGGUGAGGAUCUUGGCUGCAACAAAACCAAACGAGGCAAGGACAAGGAUGAGAACGUGCUGCAAGCUGAGAGCAGGGCCAGGAUCGCACGACCAAUGGGAGCCAUUCCAAAAGCUGCUGCGUAGACAGUGGGGAUAAACGCGUCGAAUGUCUGUGUAGCCACGUGGUGGUCCUGGUGGCAUCAGGGAUAAGUGACCAGAUACACCAAGCCUCAAGGCCCACAGAUGCAUGACCCUGUCCUGUACACAGGGUCUCACUAUGCAGCCCAGGCUGGCCUCCAAUGUUUGGAUUCUCCUCUCUCAGCCUUGCAAGUGUUAGGAUUACAGGUGAGAAAUGGGCCCGUCAGGACACCAUGACACACAGAGGCAGGAAAUGGCCAAGCCCCGAGCUGGGCCAGCUUCCCACGGGGCCUGCCAAGGGAUAUUCGAGGGCAAGUACCCCUCCUUGCCCUCCGCUAGCGGGAAUCCAGUGCUCAUUGUGCCUCAAAAGUUCCCCCUGCCUCAGCUUCCUGCUCCUUCCUCUCCCACAUCCAUCCUCCCUGUACUGUUCACAGUGCUGCUUACUGAAACUGCAGGAGGACUGGGC